RNAcentral lists this long non-coding RNA (234 nucleotides) under Nicotiana benthamiana. Its description in RNAcentral is "long non-coding RNA (NBEN_LNC025828)". The record is from RNAcentral. Lineage: Eukaryota; Viridiplantae; Streptophyta; Magnoliopsida; Solanales; Solanaceae.
UGCCUUCGUUUUGGCGUAUCCCCAGUAGCCAUACCAUCUUCAGGCUCAAUUGAAUUUCACAUUUCGGGCAACUUUAAGGAGCCCUCUCUUCUUGUAGCCUCUACCUGUUGCUGUUUUGCGCAAUUAUAACAGAGGCAUUACUUUGUUCUUUCCGGAAUUCGACAGCCAUUCAAGGUAGCCAUAGUCAUAGAUAGGAGAUUGUUGGAUGCGCCCUGGUUCGCUGCACUAAAAAGG